RNAcentral lists this ribosomal RNA (552 nucleotides) under Triticum aestivum (bread wheat). RNAcentral's name for it is "partial small subunit ribosomal RNA". Lineage: Eukaryota; Viridiplantae; Streptophyta; Magnoliopsida; Poales; Poaceae. The record is from RNAcentral.
AUGGCUUCUGUAGGUUCAUCCACUACCCUUGCUCUCAAGGCAGCCUUCAUCGCCGCCAUGCUCGCCGUCCUGGUACUGCCUUCCAUGGGGCGCUGCCCGUCACUUGGGCCAGAGGCAGCGCCCACGCCUGCGCCGGCACCGGCGAUACCGUGCAGCGACUGUGACGAAUGGGCAGCGCCCACGCUUGCGCCGACACCGGCGAUCCUGUGCAGCGACUGUGACGAAUGGGCAGCGCCCACGCCUGCGCCGACACCGGCGAUCCUGUGCAGCGACUGUGACGAAUGGGCAGCGCCCACGCCUGCGCCGACACCGGUGAUACUGUGCAGCGACUGUGAUGAAUGGGCAGCGCCCACGCCUGCCCCGACACCGGCGAUACUGUGCAGCGUCUGUGACAAACGCUGCUUCGACACGUGCUAUGCCAACGUCAAGGUUAUGUGCAACAACCCUUGCAAAAUCUACUACGGAUGUAGUGGCUGUUGGAACAAGUACAUGCCCCUGUGCGUCAAACCCUGCGAAAGUGACUGUCGCGCUGCCGCCUGCAUCAGCGGCUAA